ACUUUACAUAGGUUUUCACAAGAAUAUGCCAAUUAACUAAUUUUUCCCUCAACAGACUGUAAUUAACAUUUUGAUGUGCUAAUAAGUAGAUGCGGUCAUGUUUGAUUUUUCUUAUAGUUAUUUUCAAUUUUGUGAUUGUAGAUGGCAUAUUUGGAGCAAUGAUGAAGGUCAGUUUGAUUAAUGAUGGACCAGUCACUAUGCAGCUGGACUCACAAUCCCCAAAGUAUUCAAAUGAUGCAGUAGAAGAAUCAUAAUGACAGAUUAUUCCUAAAUUGUGUUUCUUAGUUUUCUUAUAUGCUGCAGUACUUGGCAAGUAGUUUAGCAGGGUGUAAGACAUGAUUUCUUAAUUAUAAGCUCUUCAUCUGUUGCUGUGA
Molecule: long non-coding RNA, 374 nt
Organism: Juglans regia (Persian walnut)
Lineage: Eukaryota; Viridiplantae; Streptophyta; Magnoliopsida; Fagales; Juglandaceae
Exons: 3
Source: RefSeq, a predicted model, not a curated record